Molecule: small nuclear RNA, 101 nt
Organism: Vulpes vulpes (red fox)
Lineage: Eukaryota; Metazoa; Chordata; Mammalia; Carnivora; Canidae
Source: Ensembl
GUGUUCGCUUCGGCAGCACAUAUACUAAAAUCGGAACGAUACAGAGAAGAUUAGCAUGGCCCCUGCUCAAGGAGAACUCCACUAUAAGGAUCCUAAUAUUA